UAGUCUUAUCGGUGGAUCACUCGGCUCGUAGUUCGAUGAAGAACGCAGCUAACUGCGAUAAUUAGUGUGAACUGCAGAAGCAUUGAGCACAGAAUCUUUGAAUGCACAUUGCGCCAUUGGAUUUCGGUCCAUUGGCACGUUUGGUUCAGGGUCGUAACA
RNAcentral lists this ribosomal RNA (159 nucleotides) under Nacobbus sp. CZA 0032. RNAcentral's name for it is "5.8S ribosomal RNA". It matches the Rfam family "5.8S ribosomal RNA". From Rfam's summary of the family: 5.8S ribosomal RNA (5.8S rRNA) is a component of the large subunit of the eukaryotic ribosome. It is transcribed by RNA polymerase I as part of the 45S precursor that also contains 18S and 28S rRNA. Functionally, it is thought that 5.8S rRNA may be involved in ribosome translocation. The record is from RNAcentral. Lineage: Eukaryota; Metazoa; Nematoda; Chromadorea; Rhabditida; Pratylenchidae.